RNAcentral lists this ribosomal RNA (505 nucleotides) under uncultured bacterium. Its description in RNAcentral is "partial 16S ribosomal RNA". It matches the Rfam family "Bacterial small subunit ribosomal RNA", at positions 28 to 507 of the family's 1533-position model. The record is from RNAcentral.
GACGAACGCUGGCGGCGUGCCUAAUACAUGCAAGUAGAACGCACAGUUCAUACCGUCGCUUGCUACACCAGAGACUGUGAGUUGCGAACGGGUUAGUUACGCUUAGGUUACCUGCCUGGUAGCUUGGGAUAACUAUUGGAAACGAUAGCUAAGACCGCAUAAUAUUUGUUGUGGCAUGAAAAUUAAUGGAAAGUGGCAAUGGCACCACGACCAAUUGGACCUUCGUUGGAGUAGCUAGUAGGUGAGGUAACGGCGCACCUAGGCGAGGAUACGUAGCCGACCGGCGAGGGUGAUCAGCCACCCUGGGAGUGAGACCCGGCCCAGACUGCCUCGGGAGGCAGCCGUAGUGAAUCUUCGGCCAUCGACGAAAGUCUGACCGCGCUACGCCGCGUGAGUGAAGAAGGUUUUCGGAUCGUAAAGCUCUGUUGUAAGGGAAGAACGGGUGUGAGAGUGGAAAGUUCACACUGUGACGGUAUUUUACCAGAAAGCGCCGGCUAACUACGUG